UGACAUACACUGCGAUGGUUCCAGAGAUGGGCCAGCCUUCGGGGUGGUGUACAGGUGGUGCAUGGUUGUCGUCAGCUCGUGUCGUGAGAUGUUGGGUUAAGUCCCGCAACGAGCGCAACCCUUGCCUCAUGUUGCCAGCGGUUCGGCCGGGGACUCGUGAGGGACUGCCGGGGUUAACUCGGAGGAGGGUGGGGAUGACGUCAAAUCAUCAUGCCCCUUAUGUCUUGGGCUUCACGCAUGCUACAAUGGCCAGUACAGAGGGUUGCGAUACCGUGAGGUGGGGCUAAUCUCUUAAAGCUGGUCUCGGUUCGGAUUGGGGUCUGCAACUCGACCCCAUGAAGUUGGAGUCGCUAGUAAUCGCAGAUCAGA
This 369-nucleotide ribosomal RNA is filed under the name Mobiluncus curtisii. Its description in RNAcentral is "bacterial SSU rRNA". It matches the Rfam family "Bacterial small subunit ribosomal RNA", at positions 982 to 1353 of the family's 1533-position model. Lineage: Bacteria; Bacillati; Actinomycetota; Actinomycetes; Actinomycetales; Actinomycetaceae. The record is from RNAcentral.